This 1214-nucleotide long non-coding RNA is filed under the name Triticum aestivum (bread wheat). Its description in RNAcentral is "long non-coding RNA (TAES_LNC019905)". Lineage: Eukaryota; Viridiplantae; Streptophyta; Magnoliopsida; Poales; Poaceae. The record is from RNAcentral.
UUCAUCAGUUUGUCCCCCGUUUCUUCUCUAGCCUGAGCCUGACACACUAUUCUAGCUAGACAUGGGUGUGGCUCGUAACACCUAAUGACCAAACGGAUCUACGGCACCGUUGAAUCUCAAACUUUAACUGCCAAAACUAUUGUUUUUCAUUAUGUAGUCCCUUUUAAAUUACUAAACGUCAUUUUUUGGGCUGAGAUAUCCAGGAAAGCUUUCUCGGGGUUUGUGUGCACGUAUUUCAAAUCAUACGGACCUAAAAAUUAGAAGUCAUUCCAUAUUUAUUCCCCUAGAGCCUUCCAGAAAUUCCUAAACCGCUCCAGUUGGACCACGUUAUCAUUCUUGUUAGUUCUGAGUGAAUUACCUCAGUAUGAUCAUUCUUUCAUCAGUUUGUUCCCCGUUUCUUCUAUAGUCUGAGCCUAGCACACUACUCUAGCUAGACAUGGGUGUGGCUCGUAACACCUGAUGACCAAACAGAUCUACGACACCGUCAAAUCUCAAACUUUAACUGCCAAAACUAUUGUUUUUCAUCCUGUAGUCCCUUUUAGAAUUACUAAACGUCCUUUUUUGGGCUGAGAUUUCCAGGAACGCUUUCGCGGGGUUUGUGUGCACGUAUUUUAAACCAUACGGACCUAAAAAUUAGAAGUCAUUCCAUCUUUAUUCCCCUAGAGCCUAACACACUAUUAUAGCUAGACAUGGGUGUGGCUCGUAACACCUGAUGACCAAACGGAUCUACGGCACCAUCGAAUCUCAAACUUUAACUGCCAAAACUAUUGUAUUUCAUCAUGUAGUCCCUUUUAGAAUUAUUAAACGUCCUUUUUUUGGGCCGUGAUUUCCAUGAACGCUUUCUCGGGGUUUCUGUGCACGUAUUUCAAAUCAUACAGACCUAAAAAUUAGAAGGCAUUUCAUCUUUAUUCCCCUAGAGCCUUCCAGCAGUUCCUAAACCGCUCCAGUCGGACCAUGUUAUCAUUCUUGUUAGUUCUGAGUGAAUUCCCUCGAUAUGAUCAUUCUUUCAUCAGUUUGUUCCCCGUUUCUUCUCUAGUCUGAGCCUAGCUCACUAUUCUAGCUAGAUAUGGGUGUGGCUCAUAAUACCCGAUGACCAAACGGAUCUACGGCACCAUCGAAUCUCAAACUUUAGCUGCCAAAACUAUUGUUUUUCAUCCUGUAGUCCCUUUUAGAAUUACUAAACGUCCUUUUUUGGGCCGGGAUUUCCAGGAGCG